RNAcentral lists this ribosomal RNA (419 nucleotides) under bacterium. RNAcentral describes it as "partial 16S ribosomal RNA". It matches the Rfam family "Bacterial small subunit ribosomal RNA", at positions 355 to 776 of the family's 1533-position model. The record is from RNAcentral.
UGGGGGAUAUUGCACAAUGGGCGAAAGCCUGAUGCAGCGACGCCGCGUGGGGGAUGAAGGCUUUCGGGUUGUAAACCUCUUUCGCUAUCGAACAAGGCCCGCUUAGGGUGGGUUGAGGGUAGGUGGAGAAGAAGCGCCGGCUAACUACGUGCCAGCAGCCGCGGUAAUACGUAGGGCGCGAGCGUUGUCCGGAAUUAUUGGGCGUAAGGGCUUGUAGGCUGCUUGUUGCGCCUGCUGUGAAAACGCGGGGCUUAACUUCGCGCGUGCAGUGGGUACGGGCAGGCUUGAGUGUGGUAGGGGUGACUGGAAUUCCAGGUGUAGCGGUGGAAUGCGCAGAUAUCUGGAGGAACACCGAUGGCGAAGGCAGGUCACUGGGCCAUUACUGACGCUGAGGAGCGAAAGCAUGGGUAGCGAACAGG